GUUGGUAAGGUAACGGCUUACCAAGACUUCGAUAGAUAGGGGUCCUGAGAGGGAGAUCCCCCACACUGGUACUGAGACACGGACCAGACUCCUACGGGAGGCAGCAGUGAGGAAUAUUGGACAAUGGAGGCAACUCUGAUCCAGCCAUGCCGCGUGUAGGAAGACUGCCCUAUGGGUUGUAAACUACUUUUAUAUGGGAAGAAUAAGAUCUACGUGUAGAUNGAUGACGGUACCAUAAGAAUAAGCACCGGCUAACUCCGUGCCAGCAGCCGCGGUAAUACGGAGGGUGCAAGCGUUAUCCGGAAUCAUUGGGUUUAAAGGGUCCGUAGGCGGGCAUAUAAGUCAGUGGUGAAAGUCUGUGGCUNAACCAUAGAAUUGCCAUUGAUACUGUAUGUCUUGAAUUAUUGUGAAGUGGUUAGAAUAUGUAGUGUAGCGGUGAAAUGCUUAGAGAUUACAUAGAAUACCGAUUGCGAAGGCAGAUCACUAACAAUAUAUUGACGCUGAUGGACGAAAGCGUAGGUAGCGAACAGGAUUAGAUACCCUGGUAGUCUACGCCGUAAACGAUGGAUACUAGUUGUUUGGUUUUCGGACUGAGUGACUAAGCGAAAGUGAUAAGUAUCCCACCUGGGGAGUACGUUCGCAAGAAUGAAACUCAAAGGAAUUGACGGGGGCCCGCACAAGCGGUGGAGCAUGUGGUUUAAUUCGAUGAUACGCGAGGAACCUUACCAGGGCUUAAAUGUAGUCUGACAGCUUUAGAGAUAGAGUUUUCUUCGGACAGAUUACAAGGUGCUGCAUGGUUGUCGUCAGCUCGUGCCGUGAGGUGUCAGGUUAAGUCCUAUAACGAGCGCAACCCCUGUGGUUAGUUGCCAGCGAGUAAUGUCGGGAACUCUAGCCAGACUGCCGGUGCAAACCGUGAGGAAGGUGGGGAUGACGUCAAAUCAUCACGGCCCUUACGUCCUGGGCCACACACGUGCUACAAUGGUAGGGACAGAGAGCAGCCACUUAGCGAUAAGGAGCGAAUCUAUAAACCCUAUCUCAGUUCGGAUUGGAGUCUGCAACUCGACUCCAUGAAGCUGGAAUCGCUAGUAAUCGGAUAUCAGCCAUGAUCCGGUGAAUACGUUCCCGGGCCUUGUACACACCGCCCGUCAAGCCAUGGAAGCUGGGGGUACCUGAAGUCCGUCACCGUAAGGA
Molecule: ribosomal RNA, 1191 nt
Filed under: Dokdonia genika
Lineage: Bacteria; Pseudomonadati; Bacteroidota; Flavobacteriia; Flavobacteriales; Flavobacteriaceae
Description: bacterial SSU rRNA
Rfam family: Bacterial small subunit ribosomal RNA
Source: RNAcentral